RNAcentral lists this ribosomal RNA (253 nucleotides) under uncultured bacterium. Its description in RNAcentral is "partial 16S ribosomal RNA". It matches the Rfam family "Bacterial small subunit ribosomal RNA", at positions 524 to 776 of the family's 1533-position model. The record is from RNAcentral.
UACGUAGGGUGCGAGCGUUAAUCGGAAUUACUGGGCGUAAAGCGUGCGCAGGCGGCGCGUUAAGACAGGUGUGAAAGCCCCGAGCUUAACUUGGGAAUUGCGCUUGUGACUGGCGUGCUGGAGUGUGGCAGAGGGAGGUGGAAUUCCACGUGUAGCAGUGAAAUGCGUAGAUAUCAGGAGGAACACCUGUGGUGGAGACAGCUUACUGGACCACUUCUGACGCUGAGACACGAAAGCGUGGGUAGCAAACAGG